AUACGGAAGGUCCUGGCGUUAUCCGGAUUUAUUGGGUUUAAAGGGAGCGCAGGCCGGUGUGUAAGCGUGACGUCAAAUACAGCCGCUCAACGGUUGUCCGCGUCGCGAACUGCACGCCUUGAGUACGCUGCAAGUGGGCGGAAUUCGUGGUGUAGCGGUGAAAUGCUUAGAUAUCACGAAGAACUCCAAUUGCGAAGGCAGCCCGCUGUCGCGUGACUGACGCUGAGGCUCGAAGGUGCGGGUAUCGAACAGGAUUAGAAACGCCGGUACUCCGCACUGUAGAGGAUGUUCACCCGAUGUGUGGCCUGUCAUGGUUGCGCGGUCAAGCGCAAGCAUUAAGGAUCCAACCUGGGGAGUACGCCGUCACCGGUGAAGCUGACAGGAAUUGACGGGG
RNAcentral lists this ribosomal RNA (394 nucleotides) under uncultured bacterium. RNAcentral's name for it is "partial 16S ribosomal RNA". It matches the Rfam family "Bacterial small subunit ribosomal RNA", at positions 523 to 918 of the family's 1533-position model. The record is from RNAcentral.